This 211-nucleotide long non-coding RNA is filed under the name Gossypium barbadense (sea-island cotton). RNAcentral describes it as "long non-coding RNA (GBAR_LNC010854)". The record is from RNAcentral. Lineage: Eukaryota; Viridiplantae; Streptophyta; Magnoliopsida; Malvales; Malvaceae.
CCCAAAACACAAGUCACGGGCAUAGUCACGUUCCAUUGCUGCGACCGGUGCAAGAGUCAGAGGUGUGCUGCUUAUGAGGUUGGCAUCACCAACCCAGUGCUGCCUAUCAAAUGGGCAUGACCAGUGGGUGUGCCGCCUUUCUUUUAGGCUUCACCAGUCUUCUUGUCCCAUCAAUGACAGCAGGUAGACAGAGGGUUUGAGUGGGUCAGGU